AGUGAACGCUGGCGGUAGGCCUAACACAUGCAAGUCGAACGGCAGCACAGUAAGAGCUUGCUCUUACGGGUGGCGAGUGGCGGGCGGGUGAGGAAUACAUCGGAAUCUACUUUUUCGUGGGGGAUAACGGAGGGAAACUUACGCUAAUACCGCAUACGACCUACGGGUGAAAGCAGGGGAUCUUCGGACCUUGCGCGAAUGACAGAGCCGAUGUCGGAUUAGCUAGUUGGCGGGGUAAAGGCCCACCAAGGCGACGGUCCGUAGCUGGUCUGAGAGGAUGAUCAGCCACACUGGAACUGAGACACGGUCCAGACUCCUACGGGAGGCAGCAGUGGGGAAUAUUGGACAAUGGGCGCAAGCCUGAUCCAGCCAUACCGCGUGGGUGAAGAAGGCCUUCGGGUUGUAAAGCCCUUUUGUUGGGAAAGAAAAGCAGCAGGUUAAUACCCCGCUGUUCUGACGGUACCCAAAGAAUAAGCACCGGCUAACUUCGUG
RNAcentral lists this ribosomal RNA (492 nucleotides) under uncultured bacterium. Its description in RNAcentral is "partial 16S ribosomal RNA". It matches the Rfam family "Bacterial small subunit ribosomal RNA", at positions 29 to 507 of the family's 1533-position model. The record is from RNAcentral.